RNAcentral lists this ribosomal RNA (645 nucleotides) under uncultured bacterium. RNAcentral's name for it is "bacterial SSU rRNA". The stretch from base 1 to 493 matches the Rfam family "Bacterial small subunit ribosomal RNA", at positions 338 to 873 of the family's 1533-position model. The record is from RNAcentral.
CCUACGGGAGGCAGCAGUGGGGAAUAUUGGACAAUGGGCGCAAGCCUGAUCCAGCCAUGCCGCGUGAGUGAUGAAGGCCUUAGGGUUGUAAAGCUCUUUUACCAGGGAAGAUAAUGACUGUACCUGGAGAAUAAGCCCCGGCUAACUUCGUGCCAGCAGCCGCGGUAAUACGAAGGGGGCUAGCGUUGCUCGGAAUCACUGGGCGUAAAGCGCACGUAGGCGGGUUGUUAAGUCAGGGGUGAAAUCCUGGAGCUCAACUCCAGAACUGCCUUUGAUACUGGCAAUCUUCGAGUCCGGGAGAGGUGGGUGGAACUGCGAGUGUAGAGGUGAAAUUCGUAGAUAUUCGCAAGAACACCAGUGGCGAAGGCGGCUCACUGGCCCGGUACUGACGCUGAGGUGCGAAAGCGUGGGGAGCAAACAGGAUUAGAUACCCUGGUAGUCCACGACCGUAACGAUAGAGUACUAGCGUGUCGGUACGCGUUGUCGUCUCGUCGUAGGUCGGCGCGACGUACGUACCGACGUAAGUUAACGUACCGUUCCCGUCCGGUACGGGUACGGGUACGGUCGACGAAGUAACGUUAAACGUAACGAAAGUAAGUAGUACGCGUAGACGACGCGACCGACGACGACGACGGAGGGAGGAGG